This 60-nucleotide ribosomal RNA is filed under the name Mactra antiquata. Its description in RNAcentral is "partial 28S ribosomal RNA". The record is from RNAcentral. Lineage: Eukaryota; Metazoa; Mollusca; Bivalvia; Venerida; Mactridae.
ACCUACCUCGGAUCAGACGAGACUACCAGCAUAUCAGUAAGCGGAGGAAAAGAAACAACG